Molecule: ribosomal RNA, 445 nt
Filed under: uncultured bacterium
Lineage: Bacteria
Description: bacterial SSU rRNA
Rfam family: Bacterial small subunit ribosomal RNA
Source: RNAcentral
GAUGAACGCUGGCGGCGCGCCUAACACAUGCAAGUCGAACGGCACCUAUCUUCGGGUAGAAGCGAGUGGCGAACGGCUGAGUAACACGUGGAGAACCUGCCCCCUCCCCCGGGAUAGCCGCCCGAAAGGACGGGUAAUACCGGAUACCCCGGGGUGCCGCAUGGCACCCCGGCUAAAGCCCCGACGGGAGGGGAUGGCUCCGCGGCCCAUCAGGUAGACGGCGGGGUGACGGCCCACCGUGCCGACAACGGGUAGCCGGGUUGAGAGACCGACCGGCCAGAUUGGGACUGAGACACGGCCCAGACUCCUACGGGAGGCAGCAGUGGGGAAUCUUGCGCAAUGGGGGGAACCCUGACGCAGCGACGCCGCGUGCGGGACGGAGGCCUUCGGGUCGUAAACCGCUUUCAGCAGGGAAGAGUCAAGACUGUACCUGCAGAAGAAGCCC